UACGUAGGUGGCGAGCGUUAUCCGGAUUUACUGGGUGUAAAGGGCGUGUAGGCGGCUCUGCAAGUCAGAUGUGAAAUUUCCGGGCUUAACCCGGACGGGUCAUCUGAAACUGCAGGACUUGAGUACUGGAGAGGAUAGCGGAAUUCCUAGUGUAGCGGUGAAAUGCGUAGAUAUUAGGAGGAACACCAGUGGCGAAGGCGACUUACUGGACUGUAACUGACGCUGAGUCACGAAAGCGUAGGUAGCAAACAGGAUUAGAUACCCUGGUAGU
Molecule: ribosomal RNA, 271 nt
Filed under: uncultured prokaryote
Description: partial 16S ribosomal RNA
Rfam family: Bacterial small subunit ribosomal RNA
Source: RNAcentral